Myodes glareolus (Bank vole) is the source of this 712-nucleotide long non-coding RNA. RefSeq lists it as uncharacterized. The record is from RefSeq and is a predicted model, not a curated record. NCBI's taxonomy places the organism in Eukaryota, Metazoa, Chordata, Mammalia, Rodentia, Cricetidae.
CCCAGCUCCCCCAGUACACUGAGAGGCCAGCAGCAGGACCCCGGCACCACACCUCUCUAAGACAGGUACAAGGACUGAAGUCACCAAGCAAGUUAAAGCGCUUGCCUCAGGCCUGAACCCACUCAGGGGACCCCAGGCCACCAGGAAGUUGUUUCAUCUCUGACAGGAGAGCAAAUGACAAUGGGACAGAAGCAAGCUGUCACAGAUAGGUGUCAACAUCACAGCAGCCAACUGAACAGGUCUGCAAUGGCAGGACCUAGGCAUUUGGGCUUGGCAGCCACCAGCUCAAUGCCAAGCACACUCAGUCUCCACACACUUCUGAACCUAUUAUAUCCCAAGAAUGGUGCUGAGAGUCCACCUGGCCCCUCCCUGACACACUAAGGAUUCAACCAAGACCAGAGAUUGGGGUCAGGAGCCCAGAAGAGGACCAGUCAGAUCAAGAACAAAUCCCUGGCCUUACCGUCCGGAACAAGAACAAAGACCUGAAUGCCAAGUCUCCGUCUGUGCUCCAGGCUGGCCUUGACCUUGUAAUCCUCCUAGCCUUCUGACGUUUAGAUAAUUUCCAUCGUGCCACCUGAGAGACAGAUGUGUCCAGGCCAGAGGAAGAAAAACUCAUCUGCUGCCCAACAGCAACUUCAAGGCCAAGGCAGGGACUGGGGGGGGGGGGGGGGGACAGGCAAUUCUAAGUAAACUUGUGGAUUCCAAAACUUAA